GCGGACCGUGGAGGCCGGGUGCAGCCCCGUCGGCUCCGCGCUCUCGGCAGCAAAGGCUUUUCUACGCCCCCCGCCCAUCACUUGGAUCUGGUCUGGGUAAGGGGGGGGAUUUUUUUCUGGAAGUCCCCCCACCCCCGGUGAAGGAUUUGAGGCUGGGCUCCAGUCGAGGCGGAGGUUGCAGGGCCCGGGGGGGGCGCCCCCCGCCCCGCGCACGCCUCCCCAGAGCCCUGGAAGGCGCAGCCCCGAGGGGCCCCCUGCACCCCCAGAGGAUGCAGCGGCGGGCCGCCCUGAGGAUGAAAUGAACGUCCGUAGAUAAAGACAGUGGCCGGCAUCGACCAUCUGCUAAGUCUUAGCGAUUAUCUAAGAAUCAUAAACCUGCGCUCUUCUCAUGGGAUGAAAUGCCGUCGUCACCGCAGGCUGAGAGCAGCAGCACUGUUGCUGAGCCCGCCCUCCCCUCGCAGCGCUUUACCUGCCUCAUCUCACUUGCCGCAACCAGCCCUCAGACUCAACCCAAGAAUUCACCUAGAGGUUCAGAGCCUGCAGUGUGUGUUGGAAUGGCACUGAAAGGAUGCACUUAUACUAACGGAACCUUGUCAUGAAGGGGAAUGCAACACGGCUGAGAAGGAGGGAAACAGUGGAAGAGAGGGACUCACUGAAGAGAGAAGAUACGGACUUUGCAGCACCUCCUGUUCUCUGUGGGAUGUUCAAUGAAUGAGUGAAUGUUCAUUCAUUCAAUUAUUUGAGUGCUUAUACAUAAGAGGCUGAGUACCAGGCAUGAGCGAAAUAGUAGCCACAAGACAGACACAGUUCCUACCCUUAGGGGCAGGAGAGGCGCUCAUUAACCAAAGAGGAAGAAAACAUUUUACAUUUGAUUAAAAUAAUAUAACAACAAUAGCAAAAAACAACUACAACAACAGGUCUGAGUAAAUCCUGCUGGCGGCUUUGGGGUUUAUAGACAGUGGCUCUUAAAGCAAAGCCCAACUCAGGAUUGUGGCAAUUCUCAGCAGGGUGAAUAUGGAAGCAGCACGGCCAGGAGACGCCUCCAGAGGAGCUAUUGCCAAGUGCCCUUCUCAAAGGUGGUAUCGUUCACACGCCAAUCAACAAUGCAAGUGAGAGUGUCUGUUUCCAACACCCUCGCCCACCCUGGCAAGAAUGCGGCCUGUCAGGAGGAAGCAAACUCAGAUAAACCUGCCUGUAAUUUCAGCGAAUGAAACGUGGAACAUGUAAAGGCCAAAAGAUGGAAAACACUCCGGUUUCGGUAAAAGGAGGUCUGCUCGGCUUGGAAUCCUCCAUCCUGCUAGUCAGGAGACGCAAAGAUUUAUCCAGAGAGGGGCUGAUGAAUUGAGGAAACAGAAAUGAGGCCAGUGAGACUCAACAGGGAGCUCUGCUUUUACAAACAGGCUUUCUCACACUGUCAUGCAAGAAAGGAGAUGUGGAUGUCAGAGCACAGAGAUGAAGUGAAAAACCUGGAGUCCCCAGUUUGAAUGGGACGCAUCAGUAUUCUGCCUUACAAAAUAAAGCACGUGUUUCCUACCCCUGUCCACUGAAAAAGUUAGAAAUAAUAGGCAGUUCUGCCACAAUGGGCACUCCCAGCACCCCCACUGUGGUCUCUAAACCCCACUUCUAACUAGAAGUGCUCUGUGGACAUAGGGCCGAUUCCAGGUCUGAGGCAGGAAAUGUGCAAGAUGAACUUGGAACACCUUAUCCAAGUGGCUCAGAAGCUGUUAUGGGGACAGGUCAAAAAGGAGGCAGGAAGACAACGUGAAGAAGCUCCCACUGGACAGCGACUGGACAUUUUGAGCAUGAAUAAGAAUAAUAACUGCAGUGGAUGGAAAUGUGUUAUGUAUGUCCAAAUCUACAAGUUCACAAUGAUACUUAGAAAAACAGGAAAACAUAAACUCCUUUGUCAUCUUUGAAGGAUGUUGGGACCAGUGUUUUUGGGGUUUGUUUGUUUGUUUUACUUUUUGGGGGGUGGGGGGCUUGCAGGAUCUCAGUUCCCAGACCAGGGGUUGAACCCGGGCCACGGUAGUGAAAGCCUGGAAUCCUAACCACUAGGCCACCAGGGAACUCCCUGGGACCAGCUUCUUAUUUUGAAAACUGCUAAAUAAAGGGGAAAGAGCCAAACAUGUAUCCUUUCUGGGAUGAACCAUAGUCUUACAGUAACCAAAUGGCCGAUGAGGGGAAGUUUCUUUAUAGACGUACUCCAGCUGACAGACAAAGGCAGGAGGAUAGAAUUAGUGAGCCACCAUUUGCAACCUCUAAUGCGUCUAGACAGUGAUCAUCAAUGGUUGCUAACCUCAUGAAGAGCGACAACCACACAUUAUGUGCCUUCAAAUAGAAAUACAGAACAGCCUCUGGGAAGUAGUCAUACAAACACAAAGAAACAAACAUGAAUCCAAGUGAACUUCUGGAUCUAACUACUGAUUUACAAGAAACAGAGUGGGGAGAGGCACAUGUGUAACACCAGCACGGGGAGGCAGUAAACAAAACCCAGACUGGGACACUCUAUAGCAGCGGUCCCCAACCUUUUUGGCACCAGGGACCAGUUUCAUGGAAGACAGUCUUUCCACGGGCCAGGGGCAGCGGGGGUGGUUCAGGCGGUAACGCAGGUGAUGGGGAGCGGUGGGGAGCGGCAGACGACAAUUCGAUCACUCACCUCCUGCUGUGUAGUAGCGGUCCGCAGCCCAGGGUUUGGGGACCCCUGCUGCACAGAACAACCAGCCCAGUUUCCUCAAGAAAUAAAUUGCAAGAGAAGAAAAAGGGAGGGAGAGAGGGAGAACCUGCAGACUAAGCAAGGCGUAAGAGGCAUAUCAACCAGUCACAAUGUAUGAACCUUAUAUGAAUCCUGACUUUAACCAGCUGUAAAGAAAACAGUUAUGAGACAAGCAGAAAAUUUUGAACACCAGAUACUUGCUGAUACUAAAGCAUUCGUAUUAGUUUUAGUAGGGGUGAUGGUGUUUAAAAAAAAAAAAGAUCCUUUUGUUUUGGAGUCAUAAACUAAAAUAUUUGCAGAAGAAAUGGUUGACGUCUGGAAUUUGUUUCUAAGUAUCUGGGGUGAGGGAGGCGGGGAAGGGGGUCUAGGUGGAACAAGGCUGGCCGAGAGUUGGUGGUUACUGAAGCUGGGUGAUGGAUACCUGGUGUUUAUGGUACCGUGUACCUCUACUCUUGUGCACACUUGUGUACUGGUUUGACCUGUCCACCCAUUGCUGGCAUCUCUGGGGCAAGCCUGAGUAGCAGGCUUGAGAUACAUCUCAGCUCAUGCAUGUGUGCAUACCCUCUCCUGUCUCCAUGGCAACCAAGGAGGUGAGAAAGCAGCAUCCAGAAGGUCCACAUGAGUAUCGGGCCAGGCUGCUGGUGUUAUGCUCGGCCCACCAUAGCUGCUCCCUUUGGAGAAUUCCUAGUCAGAUCUUCACAGUCCCACCCACCCCCACCAGAUCUGCCUCCUUGCACCCCUUUGCUAUCACUUGUGCCCUCCCUAUGCACCCUCUGAGGAUGUAGAGGCCAAUUAGUGGAGAGAACAGGACCCUGAAUCAGAUCCAGGUUCAAUUUUUAACUUCUCCACUUAAUGGCAGGACCUUUAACCUCCCUGUGCCGCGAUUUUCUCACCUGUAAAAUGGGUAUGAUGUGACCUCAGUGAACUCAACAAAUCUUUAUUACAGGGGGACAGUGGCAAAAAGGACCUAGGCUCCACCUCAGGGAACUAGACACCUGGAGGUAAAAGGCAGUCUGAAGAGUAUGUACUGUGAUAAAGUACGUGUUUAAAAAAGUUUUUUUUGGAAAUUGGCAGUCACUACUUAGGAAAUAUCAUAACUCUUAAUCAUACCUUUUAUUAACCAGGAUAUCCACACUUUGUAACUACUGAGUAUCUAGCUGUGCCAGACCUAUAGAAUAUUCUCACUUAACUGAGUGCUCAUAUUUCCGUGAAGUAAGUACUAUGCUUCCUAGUAUUUUAUGGAGGGGGAAACUAGGCAUUAGAGGUGAGGAAGCUUGCCACAGCUGCACUGUGGGUGCAUGGCCCUGUCUUCUUUACUCGGCCCUGGGCACUGAUUAAGCUCUAAAAUGCAGCAGCAGGGCCAGGAAACCGAAACUUCCAUGAGACCAAAAACUCUCCAGGGCAAACUCCACUUUGCAAAUGAGGAAACUGUGGCCCAUAGAGGCCAAGUAACUUGUUCCAAGCCACACGGAGAAUUGGCAGCUUAACCUGUGUCCAUGCUGCUUGGGGAGAAGGUUCAGGGAAGCCCCACGUGGUAAGGGAGGCUGCUUACUGCGCCAUUUCAUCCUGUCCCAGGGUGGGGUGAGCAGCCAGCCUGAGGUUUCCAGGGACUGGGAACUUUAGGUGCUUAAAUCAGGAAAGUCCUGGGCCAACGGGGAUGAGCUGAUCACGCCAUCUCACAGCGAGGUGUCUCAGUGGCUGUUUUCUAGGACAUGAGAUCAGUACCAAGUCUUCACCUAAGUAGUGGGGGUUCAAGCCUUAUAUAAUUAACUGAUUAUUAAUAUCUAGGCUCCUCCAGCCCAGCUAGACUCUCCACCCACAGGGGCAGGGACCAGUGUGUGAUGUUCAUUUCCGUUUUUACAGCCUCCAGCCCAGCUAGACUCUCCACCCACAGGGGCAGGGGCCAGUGUGU
Long non-coding RNA from Hippopotamus amphibius kiboko, 4625 nucleotides. RefSeq lists it as uncharacterized. The record is from RefSeq and is a predicted model, not a curated record. NCBI's taxonomy places the organism in Eukaryota, Metazoa, Chordata, Mammalia, Artiodactyla, Hippopotamidae. The transcript has 6 exons.